GUGAUAUAUCAGCGUAUAUAUAUGAACGAACAUUACAAAUGGAAGAACGAUCAAAACUUAUACAAAAUAUGAGAUUAAAAAAACAUGCUAGUAAAAACCAGCUACAGGACAUAGUUGAUAAUGCUCACAGUCAGCGAGAUUUUAUAGAGACAUUAGAACCAUUAGAAGAUGUAUUAGAAGAAACCGAACCAGUGCCUGUUAUAGGUGUAUUAUCAGCUGUAGAUGUACCAUCAUCAGAGAGAAUACAAUAUACAUACAGUAAUAUAACACAACUAAGACGGGAAACUUAUUAUAAACAACCACAACGUAAACCUGAUAAAAAGAAUGUACGGAAAAUGCACACCGCCAUAGAAUUAAAUAAACACAUAGCAUCUUUAUCUAAGGAGGCUGAAAUUGUUAUUGUUAAUAUGCCAUCAUUUCCUACUACACCGUGUAACAAUGAAAAUUAUAUGACAUUUUUAGAAGUAUUAACAGAGGGAAUAGAAAGAGUUUUAAUGGUGCGGGGAUGUGGACAAGAAGUCAUUACAAUUUACUCCUAAACAGCAGCGACUUUCAUAUGUUCAUUUCAGAGAGAAUUGUAGGAAAACUAUUUCUAGACCUACAUUAUCACGCCAUUUUCUGAAACAAGAUCAGAAAUAUAACAUAGUCAUUACCAUAUACUAAA
Molecule: long non-coding RNA, 664 nt
Organism: Patella vulgata (common limpet)
Lineage: Eukaryota; Metazoa; Mollusca; Gastropoda; Patellidae
Exons: 4
Source: RefSeq, a predicted model, not a curated record